This 460-nucleotide ribosomal RNA is filed under the name uncultured bacterium. RNAcentral describes it as "bacterial SSU rRNA". It matches the Rfam family "Bacterial small subunit ribosomal RNA", at positions 338 to 795 of the family's 1533-position model. The record is from RNAcentral.
CCUACGGGGGGCUGCAGUGAGGAAUAUUGGUCAAUGGAGGCAACUCUGAACCAGCCAAGUCGCGUGAAGGAAGACGGCCCUACGGGUUGUAAACUUCUUUUGUACAGGAAUAAAGUGAGUCACGUGUGGUUUUUUGCAUGUACUGUACGAAUAAGGAUCGGCUAACUCCGUGCCAGCAGCCGCGGUAAUACGGAGGAUCCAAGCGUUAUCCGGAUUUAUUGGGUUUAAAGGGUGCGCAGGCGGGAGAUUAAGUCGGCGGUGAAAUUUUGCAGCUCAACUGUAAAAGUGCCUUCGAAACUGGUUUCCUUGAGUGUGGAUGAAGUAGGCGGAAUUUGUGGUGUAGCGGUGAAAUGCAUAGAUAUCACGAGGAACUCCGAUUGCGCAGGCAGCUUACUAAGCCAUAACUGACGCUCAGGCACGAAGGCGUGGGGAUCAAACAGGAUUAGAUACCCGAGUAGUC